GAUGUAACGCUGGGCGGGCGUGCUUAACACAUGCAAGUCGAACGAAGCGCGUUAAACGGAGUUUCUUACGGGAAUGAAGUUUUUGCGACUGAGUGGCGGACGGGUGAGUAACGCGUGGGUAACCUGCCUCAUACAGGGGGAUGACAGUUAGAAAUGACUGCUAAUACCGCAUAAGCGCACAGCAUCGCAUGAUGCAGUGCGAAAAACUCCGGUGGUAUGAGAUGGACCCGCGUCUGAUUAGCUAGUUGGUGAGGUAACGGCUCACCAAGGCGACGAUCAGUAGCCGACCUGAGAGGGUGAUCGGCCACAUUGGGGACUGAGACACGGCCCAA
Molecule: ribosomal RNA, 332 nt
Filed under: uncultured bacterium
Lineage: Bacteria
Description: bacterial SSU rRNA
Rfam family: Bacterial small subunit ribosomal RNA
Source: RNAcentral